CAAAGUUUUACCUUCAUUUUGUAUCCAACAUUACUGUGAACCUUGCAUUGAAUCUUUUCUCAGCUCUGCACAGAGGUAUGCUAUCAUUUCAAGAUGAUUUCUUACAUGAUGCCGGCCCCCUUCAAGACUGAGGACACCAAGAUAAGAGCUGCUUCAUUAGAAUUAAAGAGAGAGAAAAUGGCCCCAUUACCGCCCUGUCUUGAUCUAGCAAGAAGUGUUCCUUUCUUCUGGGAAUAGAGAAGACACUUUUCCACUGAAAGCAUUUUCACUUGCUCCGGGGGAAGGGAAUUCAGAGAAAAUAUCUUGGAAGAAAUAAGCCUGGUGCUUUGAAGGAUGAAUAAGAAAUAACUAGUCUGAAAAGCAGAGUGACUUUCUGGAAAGCAUCUGCAAAGGCCCUGUGAAGAGAUGGAGUGAAUAGAAGAGAUGCGUGUAAGGCAGAAAGAUCACUGGGAACCUGGUGAAAAACAGGCUGAAGAGUUAGGUUAUCUGAUGGCCGUGGGCUGAGUGUGCCGAGACUGGAAACUGACAAACGUUCUCCCUUUGGCCAAAGUGGAGCCAGACUUCCUCACUGUGUUUUAACUAUGGCUUACAAAGACUGGAACAAAGUAUUAAAAUAGUUUCUAACAAGCAGCUCAAGACCACAUCCUAAAAUGACCUGAGCUCCCUUUUAAGUGUUUGGCUGAGAGUACUCAAGGUGGUCAAAAGAAUUUGUUUUUUUGUUUCAGCCAAGACGUGAAGAUAAUGUCACUGCCUCCUGGCCCCUGUGGAAAGGCAGGAGUCUAACUUAAUAAGUGCCAGUGAACAAACCCAGGUGGAUUUCGUAUGGACCAACUCCCUUCCUGCCUUUUGUGAUAUUUCACUACCCUUCCUCUGUUCCCCUCUGCUCAUCCCAUUUCUAUCUCUUCAUUCCCUAUUUAAAAUGCUCUGCCAUCUCUGUACAAAUUGAUAUUGUAUUCAGUUCAUGUUGGAUUCUUUCUCUAUUGCAAUAGUAUAUUACUGAUUAAAAUCUGUCCUUAUCACUUUAACUAAUAGCUUUGCUCAUCUCAGACAAGAUUUACAAACCAAUCUAAAAAUAUAUCUGAACAAAGGCAGUCACAUAAAGAAGAUGCACCAUGGGGAUAAGAUCCACUGGAAAAUGCCAGCCUCUGGAUUUCUCCUAGUGGAAUACUGUAAUGGGUCUUCAAAGUAGAAAACAGACUGGACAGAAGACUGGGGGAAAUGGAAACAAAUUGUUCAUUGGUAGGAACUAGCAGUAGAUGAAUAUUUUAACUAAGAUGUUGGGAGUUGCUAGAAGAAUAGCUUAUGCCCAGGUGGAGAGGAAAACGUGUAGAAUAUACCAGGUUAGUGAUAACACUUAAAAUAUCAAUUUGUAAACAAUUUGGAGGUUUUUAAAUAACCAGCUUUGUUACAUCAAACAAAAGCUUCCACUUUUCCAACGGUCUGUAUGGGAUGAGAUUAAAAUGCUAAGGUACAAAUUGGAAUUACUUUAAAAAGUCAAGCAGCAUAAUACAUUCCUGUGCUGCUUUGCUAGGUCGUAGCUCCACUAUAUCAAUACAUGUGGUGAUUUGAUAAGAAGUCAUAUACACACAAAGAACAGAUUUUCUGAUUAUUAAAUGCUGACAUUAUAUUUGCUAAUAAAUCAUUCAUUGAUCCUGUAAAAUAUUUAUUAAUGCUUAAUGAAUACCACACUCUGGGCUUUGCAGUGGUUUUUGUCCUCAGAGAGGAUAGAGUGGUGAUAACGGAGGUUGAUUGCUCAAGACACAUAGAUGUGGAUUCCUGUCCUCUACUCAUCUGUUUUUAGACUUCAUUCCUGCCCUUCUGCAGCUGGACUCUGUAUCUCGGGAGAUUUUUUUCAAGUCUGCCUUUCCUAGGCUGAGUAGGGUUUUGGCUGGCUGUGGCUAAAGAGAGACACUGGAGAGAGAAUGGAAGGUGGGAAAAUUGGAGAAACCAGUGAAUUUGUCCUGUUGCUCAGGCAGCAUCUUAGGAAAUGCCUGCCUUUCUGCCAUGUUCCCAAGUUCUGCUCAAUAGGCUCAGAAUUUGGUUUCUGAUACGUCCACUCUUAACAGCUGAAUCUGUGCACCUCUUCUCAACUUUUUAUUUGGUCAUGGAUUGGUAUUUUGUGGGAUUUUUACACCACAAAAAUUGGUAGACAAGCUUAGUUUCUCUCCAGAGAGCUGUGUUUUAAUCAUUAACCAGAGCACUGCUGGGGUUAGUCACGCCCCCUGUUUGGAUUCUUUCUACGAGAGUG
Chinchilla lanigera (long-tailed chinchilla) is the source of this 2248-nucleotide long non-coding RNA. RefSeq lists it as uncharacterized. The transcript is spliced from 5 exons. The record is from RefSeq and is a predicted model, not a curated record. Lineage: Eukaryota; Metazoa; Chordata; Mammalia; Rodentia; Chinchillidae.